RNAcentral lists this ribosomal RNA (253 nucleotides) under uncultured bacterium. Its description in RNAcentral is "partial 16S ribosomal RNA". It matches the Rfam family "Bacterial small subunit ribosomal RNA", at positions 524 to 776 of the family's 1533-position model. The record is from RNAcentral.
UACGUAGGGUGCGAGCGUUAAUCGGAAUUACUGGGCGUAAAGCGUGCGUAGGCGGUUCGUUAAGUUCGUUGUGAAAGCCCCGGGCUCAACCUGGGAAUGGCAAUGGAAACUGGCGGGCUGGAGUAUGGCAGAGGGGGGUGGAAUUCCGCGUGUAGCAGUGAAAUGCGUAGAGAUGCGGAGGAACACCGAUGGCGAAGGCAGCCCCCUGGGUCAAGACUGACGCUCAGGCACGAAAGCGUGGGGAGCAAACAGG